GACGAACGCUGGCGGCGUGCCUAAUACAUGCAAGUUGAGCGCUGAAGGUUGGUACUUGUACCAACUGGAUGAGCAGCGAACGGGUGAGUAACGCGUGGGUAAUCUGCCUUUGAGCGUGGGACAACAUUUGGAAACGAAUGCUAAUACCGCAUAAAAACUUUAAACACAAGUUUUAAGUUUGAAAGAUGCAAUUGCAUCACUCAAAGAUGGUCCCGCGUUGUAUUAGCUAGUUGGUGAGGUAAAGGCUCACCAAGGCGAUGAUACAUAGCCGACCUGAGAGGGUGAUCGGCCACAUUGGGACUGAGACACGGCCCAAACUCCUACGGGAGGCAGCAGUAGGGAAUCUUCGGCAAUGGACGAAAGUCUGACCGAGCAACGCCGCGUGAGUGAAGAAGGUUUUCGGAUCGUAAAACUCUGUUGGUAGAGAAGAACGUUGGUGAGAGUGGAAAGCUCAUCAAGUGACGGUAACUAACCAGAAAGGGACGGCUAACUACGUG
RNAcentral lists this ribosomal RNA (497 nucleotides) under uncultured bacterium. RNAcentral describes it as "partial 16S ribosomal RNA". It matches the Rfam family "Bacterial small subunit ribosomal RNA", at positions 28 to 507 of the family's 1533-position model. The record is from RNAcentral.